CAUCUAAAAAAAAUAAAACAUUACCCGAACCAAUUUCAUGUUGUAGAGAGUUCAUGAUUAUUGAUUUCCACUCAAAAUAUACAGCGGCAUCCUCAUUAAUAUAUUUUUUCGCCUUUUCCGUUUUCCGUGAGGUAGGCGAAGUAAAUUUUGCCUCAUAAUUCCUAUUUUGCAUUUCUUGGUUAAUGUUCGAAAUAAAAAAUUCGAAAGUUUGAAUUUUUUUAUCACGAUAUUUUCAGCUUUCAAGAAAAAAAAAUUCAAGAGUUUUUGUUUCUCUUCGGCUUUCUUCUUAUGAUCCUGCACGAACACCUUAAAUAAUUAAGAUUCAAAAACCUUAAAAACAAAAUUGUUUUUCAUUGUUCAAUGUAUAAAAAAAAGAGCCAAUUACCAUUUUGUUUGUCUUCUCGAAAUUGUAAAAUGUAAGAAGAGUAGUACAGCACCAAGCAAAACUUUGAAAAAAAAUCCUUGUUUGUCUUCUUGAAAUUGUAAAGUGCAAGAAGAGUAGAACGCAACUUCACACUACAGUGCCUCCAAGCAAAACUUUCAGAAAAAAUCCUGAAACAAAUAUUUAUUUACAUAAGAGAUAUAUUUUACCACUUUGCAAAGAUUUUGAAUAUAAUAACAACUAUUAGGCACAACAUGAAACUCAUAGUAUAUUUUAUUGAGACAGAUCUUAACUCAGGAUAGAAUAAGGAAGGAGAAGACAGGAAAGAGCUCGGAGGCAGAACUAACGCAAAAAAAGUAAAGUGGCCUAGCCGAAACCUUAGAUUGUUUAAGUGUAAUUAGCAUUGGUUCUGUAACAUUUUCAAUUCAACUCGAUAUUUUUCUAACCUUAGUAGCAGGUCUUGUCAGUUCCAGAAGUCCAAUAAGAAGUAGGUGAAAUCUAUUAGUGAGAUUUCUCUAUGAUUGAAACAUACCCUUAGACCAGUGUUUCACACCAUGUGUUCAUUUGUUAACUAGUUUUCUAUGUAGAUCUUAGGACAUGUGGUAAAUUAAUGAAUACAUCGAAAGUUAAUUGGGACCUAGAGAAUUCUGCUGCAACAACAGUGAAAUAGGUUUUCAAGCUUAUCUCUGAAUGUACCAUUAUCACAAGGCAAGUAAGGUGAAUUGUUUAAGAACUAUGGAACU
This 1125-nucleotide long non-coding RNA is filed under the name Salvia miltiorrhiza (redroot sage). RNAcentral's name for it is "long non-coding RNA (SMIL_LNC001721)". Lineage: Eukaryota; Viridiplantae; Streptophyta; Magnoliopsida; Lamiales; Lamiaceae. The record is from RNAcentral.